GGGCGCAUAGCUCAGUGGUUAGAGCACUGGUCUUACAAACCAGGAGUCGCUGGUUCGAAUCCAGCUGUGCCCACC
This 75-nucleotide transfer RNA is filed under the name Actinoallomurus spadix. RNAcentral's name for it is "tRNA-Val". It matches the Rfam family "tRNA". From Rfam's summary of the family: Transfer RNA (tRNA) molecules are approximately 80 nucleotides in length. Their secondary structure includes four short double-helical elements and three loops (D, anti-codon, and T loops). Lineage: Bacteria; Bacillati; Actinomycetota; Actinomycetes; Streptosporangiales; Thermomonosporaceae. RNAcentral also lists the same sequence under 3 other names. The record is from RNAcentral.